UCUCUGUGUGCUGACAGUGUGGGCUUCUACCCUACUUAAGCUCAGACCACAUAUAUCAGCUUGAUAUUAUUAGGCAGUGUGCUGAAGACCUGGGCAGUUGGCACUGGGCCCAUGGAUUUGUCCUCUGGCCCUUUGGGGUCAAGCACCAUCUGUGAUGUAAGUGGAUGCUGUGCUGUGGGCACCCUCCUGUAGGAGCAGCCAGGUAGGUCAUCUUGGAAGGUGCCAGCAAGCAAGGUGGUGCAUGGAUCAGAUUCACCUCAGUCCCAUGAUAUCUACAACCCUGCUCUCUCUCAGCCUGGCAGACAGCAGGAGAUGGAUCCCCUCAGUGCAAGAUGCAGAGCCUCGGAGGAUGGGCACCUAUGGUCAGCUACAGCUGCAUAGCACAGUGACAACUUCAGAUUUCCACAAGAGUUUAAGCUGUGCCUCUGCCUGUUCUCCAGGUGGCUCCCCCUGCCAGUUCACAGACGUAUAGGGAUCAUAUGAGUCUAUAAUCAGGAGCUCAGACUAGAUUUAGCUGGGAAAUGCCUUUCAAGGAGAAGGAACCAAAGUGAGAAUCUCAGAGGUCCAUGGCUAGACUGUGUUGCCAUGGGGUUUCUUCACAUAUCCCUUCCUUAAGUCUGGUCUGGAUUUAGGAGCCAGUCCUGGUGCCCAGUGACUUUGAGCAAGCUUCCCAUCUUCCUCUUCAACCACAGUGUCUGCAUUACCUCUGAAUUAAGUUUUCUCUCAAAAGAUCUGUUUAAAAUGUGAUGUUUUACUCAACAUUUUGUUUUCUCUCCUUGGAGUGAGUGUUUCCCAGCUGCAUCUAGUAAGUCAUCCUGUCCUUUUCUUAAUUUUCUAUAUUAGAUUUGUAAAGUAUAUGUAUCUGAGUCUGAAAAUAACAAGUGGGAUAUUUUGUUAAUUUUAUAUUUCAGCUAUAUCUUCUCAUUACAUUGAAGACUUUUUGCCAGAACAGGGCAUGAAAGAUUCAUUCCAAAAAGUGAUACUGAGAAGAUAUGCAAGCUGUGGACUCGAGGAUUUACAUUUAAGGAAAGAUGGGGAAAAUGUGGGUGAGUAUAAGGAUCAAGAAAAAAGUUAUAAUGGACUUAACCAAUGUUUGUCAACUCUACCUAGCAAAAUUUUCCCAUAUAAUAAAUGUGUGAAAGUCUUUAGUAAAUCAUCAAAUCUAAACAGACAAAACAUAAGACAUACUACAGAGAAACUUUUCAAAUGUAUACAAUGUGGCAAAGUCUUUAAAUCUCACUCAGGCCUUUCUUAUCAUAAGAUAAUUCAUACUGAAGAGAAACUCUGCAUAUGUGAGGAAUGUGGCAAAACCUUUAAGUGGUUCUCAUACCUUACUAAACAUAAGAGAAUUCACACUGGAGAGAAACCAUACAAAUGUGAAGAAUGUGGCAAAGCUUUUAACUGGUGCUCGAGUCUUACUAAACAUAAGAGAAUCCAUACCGGUGAGAAACCCUACAAAUGUGAAGAAUGUGGAAAAGCCUUUCACUGGUGUUCGCCCUUUGUUAGACAUAAGAAAAUUCAUACUGGAGAAAAACCAUAUACAUGUGAAGAAUGUGGCAAAGCAUUUAACCGGCACUCACAUCUCACCAAACAUAAGACAAUUCACACUGGAAAGAAACCCUACAAAUGUAAAGAAUGUGGGAAAGCCUUUAACCACUGCUCACUACUUACUGUCCAUGAGAGAACCCAUACGGGAGAGAAACCCUAUAAAUGUGAAGAAUGUGGCAAAGCUUUUAACUCAUCAUCAGUUCUUACUGAACAUAAGGUAAUUCAUAGCAGAGAGAAACCCUAUAAAUGUGAAAAAUGUGACAAAGUCUUUAAGAGGUUCUCAUACCUUACUAAACACAAGAGAAUUCACACUGGAGAGAAACCCUACAAAUGUGAAGAAUGUGGCAAAGCUUUUAACUGGUCCUCAAUCCUUACUGAACAUAAAAGAAUUCAUACUGGAGAGAAACCCUACAACUGUGAAGAAUGUGGAAAAGCCUUUAAUCGGUGCUCACACCUUACUAGACAUAAGAAAAUUCAUACUGCUGUCAAACGCUAUAAAUGUGAAGAAUGUGGCAAAGCUUUUAAACGGUGCUCACAUCUUAAUGAACAUAAGAGAGUUCAAAGAGGAGAGAAAUCCUGCAAGUAUAAAAAAUGUGGGGAAGCUUUUAAUCACUGCUCAAACUUUACUACGUAAGAAUUUUUACUAAAGAGAAAUCCUACAAAUGUAAAGAAUAUGGCAAAGUCCAUAAAUCUUACUCAAGCCAUUGAAAUCACAAGAUAAUUCAUACUGAAGAGAAACACUACAAAUGUGAAGAAUGUGGGGAAAGUCUUCAACUAUUGCUCACAUCUUAUUGCACAUAAGAAAAUUCAUACUGAGAAAAAUUCUGAUUUUAAAGAAUGUGGCAAAGCAUUUAAUAACUACCAUGAGCUUACUCAUCAGAGGUUUUGUGCUAGAUAAAAGCAAUAUAAGUGUAAUGAUACACAUUACAUUUAUCUGUGGAAAGUUGUCACCAAAUAAAAGCCUUAGAGUACACAAGGUGUAAUGAUAGUGAUACAUUACAUUUGCACGUGGAAAGACUUCAAAAAUAAGCCUUAGAGUACACAAGGGUUUUUAUACUGAAGAAAAACAUUACAAAUAUAAAGAUUGGUGCAAUACUUUUACUUAUGUUACAGAUUUUGUUGUACAUAGGAGAGUUUAUGCUGAAAGGUAACCCUCUAACAGUUGCUCAAAUUUUAUUCCAUUUUAGAGAAUUUACAUUGGAAAGAAACCCUACAACUGUAAUGAAUAUGAAAAAAAUUGUUUAAAAAGUACACCUUAGA
RNAcentral lists this small RNA (2808 nucleotides) under Pongo abelii (Sumatran orangutan). Its description in RNAcentral is "retained intron". The record is from RNAcentral. Lineage: Eukaryota; Metazoa; Chordata; Mammalia; Primates; Hominidae.